RNAcentral lists this ribosomal RNA (399 nucleotides) under uncultured bacterium. Its description in RNAcentral is "bacterial SSU rRNA". It matches the Rfam family "Bacterial small subunit ribosomal RNA", at positions 28 to 421 of the family's 1533-position model. The record is from RNAcentral.
GACGAACGCUGGCGGCGUGCCUAUCACAUGCAAGUCGAGCGGGGUCCAUCCGGUAGCAAUACCGGGGAAGACCUAGCGGCGAACGGGUGAGUAACACGUGAGAAACCUGCCCGAAGUCUGGGAUAACCCGAGGAAACUCGAGCUAAUACCGGAUGUCUUCUUCUGAUCGCAUGGUCGGAUGAAGAAAGAUUUAUCGCUUCGGGAGGGUCUCGCGGCCUAUCAGCUAGUUGGCGGGUAACGGCCCACCAAGGCGUCGACGGGUAGCUGGUCUGAGAGGACGAUCAGCCACACUGGGACUGAGACACGGCCCAGACUCCUACGGGAGGCAGCAGUGGGGAAUAUUGCGCAAUGGGCGAAAGCCUGACGCAGCAACGCCGCGUGCGGGAUGAAGGCCUUCGG